AACUCAAAGGAAUUGACGGGGGCCCGCACAAGCGGUGGAGCAUGUGGUUUAAUUCGAUGAUACGCGAGGAACCUUACCUGGGCUCAAAUGUAUGUUGACGUAUUCUGAAAGGGAUACUUCUUCGGACAAUAUACAAGGUGCUGCAUGGUUGUCGUCAGCUCGUGCCGUGAGGUGUCGGGUUAAGUCCCAUAACGAGCGCAACCCCUACCUUUAGUUGCCAUCAGGUAAUGCUGGGGACUCUAAAGGAACUGCCUACGCAAGUAGUGAGGAAGGCGGGGAUGACGUCAAAUCAGCACGGCCCUUACGUCCAGGGCUACACACGUGUUACAAUGGCCAGUACAGAGGGCAGCCACCCCGCGAGGGGGCGCUAAUCCUAAAAGCUGGUCCCAGUUCGGAUCGGAGUCUGCAACCCGACUCCGUGAAGCUGGAUUCGCUAGUAAUCGCGCAUCAGCCACGGCGCGGUGAAUACGUUCCCGGGCCUU
This 482-nucleotide ribosomal RNA is filed under the name uncultured Sphingobacteriales bacterium. RNAcentral's name for it is "bacterial SSU rRNA". It matches the Rfam family "Bacterial small subunit ribosomal RNA", at positions 898 to 1382 of the family's 1533-position model. Lineage: Bacteria; Pseudomonadati; Bacteroidota; Sphingobacteriia; Sphingobacteriales. The record is from RNAcentral.